UAUUGCACAAUGGGGGAAACCCUGAUGCAGCGACGCCGCGUGGGUGACGAAGUAUUUCGGUAUGUAAAGCCCUAUCAGCAGGGAAGAAGAUGACAGUACCUGACUAAGAAGCCCCGGCUAACUACGUGCAAGCAGCCGCGGUAAUACGUAGGGGGCAAGCGUUAUCCGGAUUUACUGGGUGUAAAGGGAGCGUAGGUGGCAUGGCAAGCCAGAAGUGAAAACCCGGGGCUUAACUCCGCGGAUUGCUUUUGGAACUGUCAGGCUGGAGUGCAGGAGGGGCAGGCGGAAUUCCUGGUGUAGCGGUGAAAUGCGUAGAUAUCAGGAGGAACACCGGUGGCGAAGGCGGCCUGCUGGACUGUAACUGACACUGAGGCUCGAAAGCGUGGGGAGCAAACAGGA
Molecule: ribosomal RNA, 399 nt
Filed under: uncultured bacterium
Lineage: Bacteria
Description: bacterial SSU rRNA
Rfam family: Bacterial small subunit ribosomal RNA
Source: RNAcentral